GCGGAGGUUGUCGAGCAUGGUCAAAGGCGAUGGAUUCAGGGUCCAUUCCUGCAGGGGUUCGCCGGUUCAAAUCCGGCCCUCCGCA
Non-coding RNA from Thermoplasmatales archaeon Gpl, 85 nucleotides. Lineage: Archaea; Methanobacteriati; Thermoplasmatota; Thermoplasmata; Thermoplasmatales. The record is from Rfam.